Molecule: long non-coding RNA, 489 nt
Organism: Oryzias melastigma (Indian medaka)
Lineage: Eukaryota; Metazoa; Chordata; Actinopteri; Beloniformes; Adrianichthyidae
Exons: 3
Source: RefSeq, a predicted model, not a curated record
GUUUGGGUCGGUUCGGCGGUUUUUAUUUCCUCAUCAUCAAAAGUAGCGGACUAAGUUAGGCUGGUUUGCGAUGGGAGUUCCACGAAUGUUCUAUGUUCUGAGGCUCAGUGAACGCACCACGAGGAGACACUUCAGUCUAUGGAGCCUCUGAACGUCACACAAAACAAGCUCAGAAGUCACGUGAUUUGUUUUGGCGAAGCGUUUUCAUCAGUCUGCUUCUCGUUUGCACCAAAUAAAUAAAUUACUUUUUUCGGGUUAAAUUGCCACAUUAUGACGUCACCAUCAUAGCUUCACAUGCAUUGGUUGUAAUCCCAGCUGAUCACGUGUUCGCUCCACCUGCCGCUGAGAGCUCAUUAAAGGUAAUUGGGUCCAGGUGAGACCGCGGGUCAGUGGUUCUGGAUGCAGUUCUGCGGUGGACUUCAGAAUUCCUUGCUGUCCAGGAAAAGUGGAGCUCCGACUAAAACAAAGAGGAAGAUCUUCAACCAGUAA